AGAAUGCCAAGGAGAAGGCUCUGCAGAGCAUCUCCACCAUGUCCUCGGCUCAGAUCGUCUCAGCCACCGCUAUACACAGCAAGCUCCUGCCUGGAAUAGUACGGGCCAGCUUCCCCAGCAAUGCACAGCUGUGGCAGGGGAUGAUUCCUGGAGGACAGUCUAGCUCCGCCUCAGAAGAUAUCAAGCCGUUCUCUCAGCAAGCCUACUCCGUGCAGACAGCGGGGACCACCACAAUCUCAGG
Plectropomus leopardus (leopard coralgrouper) is the source of this 241-nucleotide non-coding RNA. Lineage: Eukaryota; Metazoa; Chordata; Actinopteri; Perciformes; Serranidae. The record is from RefSeq and is a predicted model, not a curated record.